This 249-nucleotide unclassified non-coding RNA is filed under the name fungal sp. RNAcentral describes it as "partial internal transcribed spacer region". The stretch from base 1 to 46 matches the Rfam family "Eukaryotic small subunit ribosomal RNA", at positions 1786 to 1831 of the family's 1831-position model. The record is from RNAcentral. Lineage: Eukaryota; Fungi.
AAGUCGUAACAAGGUUUCCGUAGGUGAACCUGCGGAAGGAUCAUUACCCUUUCAAUGCACAAGGAUCGAGCGGGUACAGGUGACUGUAUCCUCUCUCCUUGCUGUAUUACGCCCUUGUUUUUCAAUUUCUAUUUGUUUCCUCGGCAGGAUUUCCUGCCGGUUGGAUAAAACUAUAACCUUUUUUUAUCUUCAAUCAGCGUCUGAACAAGUUAAUAAUUACAACUUUCAACAACGGAUCUCUUGGUUCUG